CCCGUCCGUCUUCUAACUCUCUUAUAGUCUUUCUAUCUGUCUCGAGUUUGGGCUAUUUGGGAGAUGUCACAGAAGGGUGCUGUCGCUGCCGCUGUCGUCGCCUCGCAUAGCUCCCCCUCCCAAGCUUCCAGGUGGUUUGAUGUUUUGUACAGUGGAAGAAAAGCCAGAUUGGUGCUAAAAGUAUGCACAAUGGAGGAAACAAGAAAAUGUGACUACCUAGAGUAGAAUCUUGAAUUCUCAUGUAUUCUUGGAAUGAAAUAUUAUGACUAAAGUUGUAAUAAGCUACUUUAUAAUGUUGUAUCCAAUUGGAAUAAAUAUUAUGACUCAAUAUUUACCAGAUGACUUAAUCCAA
Molecule: long non-coding RNA, 352 nt
Organism: Juglans regia (Persian walnut)
Lineage: Eukaryota; Viridiplantae; Streptophyta; Magnoliopsida; Fagales; Juglandaceae
Exons: 2
Source: RefSeq, a predicted model, not a curated record